This 614-nucleotide ribosomal RNA is filed under the name Neptunomonas sp. S018. RNAcentral describes it as "bacterial SSU rRNA". It matches the Rfam family "Bacterial small subunit ribosomal RNA", at positions 97 to 708 of the family's 1533-position model. Lineage: Bacteria; Pseudomonadati; Pseudomonadota; Gammaproteobacteria; Oceanospirillales; Oceanospirillaceae. The record is from RNAcentral.
GGGUACAGGAUGAGUAACGCGUGAGAAAUCUGCCUGGUAGUGGGGGAUAGCCCAGAGAAAUUUGGAUUAAUACCGCAUACGCCCUACGGGGGAAAGCAGGGGACCUUCGGGCCUUGCGCUAUCAGAUGAGUCUGCGUCGGAUUAGCUAGUUGGUGGGGUAAUGGCCUACCAAGGCGACGAUCCGUAGCUGGUCUGAGAGGAUGAUCAGCCACACUGGGACUGAGACACGGCCCAGACUCCUACGGGAGGCAGCAGUGGGGAAUAUUGCACAAUGGGCGCAAGCCUGAUGCAGCCAUGCCGCGUGUGUGAAGAAGGCCUUAGGGUUGUAAAGCACUUUCAGCAGUGAGGAAAGGUGUGUAGUUAAUAACUGCAUGCUGUGACGUUAACUGCAGAAGAAGGACCGGCUAACUCCGUGCCAGCAGCCGCGGUAAUACGGAGGGUCCGAGCGUUAAUCGGAAUUACUGGGCGUAAAGCGCGCGUAGGCGGUUAUUUAAGUCAGAUGUGAAAGCCCCGGGCUCAACCUGGGAACUGCACCUGAUACUGGAUAACUAGAGUACAGAAGAGGGUGGUGGAAUUUCCUGUGUAUCGGUUCAAUGCGUAGAUAUAGAAACCCU